GAUGAACGCUGGCGGUAUGCUUAACACAUGCAAGUCGAACGGACUCUUCGGAUUUAGUGGCGGACGGGUGAUUAACUCUUUAUAAUCUGUCUUUUGUUUCGGGACAACCACUGUAACCUGUUUCUAAUACCGUAUUUUCCGAUAUGUAAAAGAUCAAUUGCCUGAAGAUGAGCUCGCGUCUGAUUAGCUAGUUGGUGCGGUAAAGGCUCCCCCCGGCAGCGAUCAGUAGCUGGUCUGAGAGGAUGACCAGCCACACUGGGACUGAGACACGGCCCAGACUCCUACGGGAGGCAGCAGUGGGGAAUUUUCCGCAAUGGGCGAAAGCCUGACGGAGCAAUACCGCGUGAGGGAAGAAGGCUCUUGGGUUGUAAACCUCUUUUCUUAGGGAAGAACAAAAUGACGGUACCUAAGGAAUCAGCAUCGGCUAACUCCGUG
RNAcentral lists this ribosomal RNA (435 nucleotides) under uncultured bacterium. Its description in RNAcentral is "partial 16S ribosomal RNA". It matches the Rfam family "Bacterial small subunit ribosomal RNA", at positions 28 to 507 of the family's 1533-position model. The record is from RNAcentral.